UACACUUGUAAGGUAAUCAAA
Molecule: non-coding RNA, 21 nt
Filed under: Caenorhabditis elegans
Lineage: Eukaryota; Metazoa; Nematoda; Chromadorea; Rhabditida; Rhabditidae
Source: RNAcentral